Molecule: ribosomal RNA, 834 nt
Filed under: Diploschistes scruposus
Lineage: Eukaryota; Fungi; Ascomycota; Lecanoromycetes; Ostropales; Graphidaceae
Description: eukaryotic LSU rRNA
Rfam family: Eukaryotic large subunit ribosomal RNA
Source: RNAcentral
UAACGGCGAGUGAAGCGGCAACAGCUCAAAUUUGAAAUCUGGCCCCCCGGGGUCCGAAUUGUAAUUUGCAGAAGGUGCUUCGGGCGCGACGGCGGUCCAAGUUCCUUGGAAUCGGACGUCGAAGAGGGUGAGAAUCCCGUAUUUGGCCGAUCGUCAAGCCCACUGCGAAGCCCUUUCGACGAGUCGAGUUGUUUGGGAAUGCAGCUCCAAGCGGGUGGUAAAUUUCAUCUAAAGCUAAAUACCUGCCAGAGACCGAUAGCGCACAAGUAGAGUGAUCGAAAGAUGAAAAGCACUUUGAAAAGAGAGUCAAACAGCACGUGAAAUUGUUGAAGGGGAAGCGCUUGCAACCAGACUCGCACGCGGGGGCUCAGCCGUUCCUCGGGACGGUGCACUCCCCCGCGAUCGGGCCAGCAUCGGUUUCGGCGGCCGGACAAAGGCCCGGGGAAAGUAGCUCCCUCUCGGGAGUGUUACAGCCCCGGGUGCAAUGCGGCCCGCCGGGACCGAGGACCGCGCUUUUGCUAGGAUGCUGGCGUAAUGGUUGCCAGCGACCCGUCUUGAAACACGGACCAAGGAGUCGACCGGCGACGCGAGUGUUCGGGCGUCAAACCCGGGCGCGCAAUGAAAGUGAACGGAGGUGGGAGCCCCCGGGCGCACCAUCGACCGAUCCUGAUGUCUUCGGAUGGAUUUGAGUACGAGCGCCGCCGGUCGGACCCGAAAGAUGGUGAGCUAUACGUGGAUAGGGUGAAGCCAGAGGAAACUCUGGUGGAGGCUCGCAGCGGUUCUGACGUGCAAAUCGAUCGUCAAAUCUGCGUAUAGGGGCGAAAGACUAAUCGA